GCCUGGAUGAAAAAGUGAGACCCAGUCUCAAAAAAAAAAAAAAAUCUGAGGAUAGUUACAGAUUUAUUUGUUCCUCCUCCAUUCCCGCCGCUUCAUUUGACUAGCCUUAA
RNAcentral lists this small RNA (110 nucleotides) under Homo sapiens (human). RNAcentral describes it as "Y RNA (ENSG00000252450.1)". The record is from RNAcentral. Lineage: Eukaryota; Metazoa; Chordata; Mammalia; Primates; Hominidae.